RNAcentral lists this ribosomal RNA (500 nucleotides) under uncultured bacterium. RNAcentral describes it as "partial 16S ribosomal RNA". It matches the Rfam family "Bacterial small subunit ribosomal RNA", at positions 29 to 523 of the family's 1533-position model. The record is from RNAcentral.
AUUGAACGCUGGCGGCAUGCCUUACACAUGCAAGUCGAACGGCAGCACGGGAGCAAUCCUGGUGGCGAGUGGCGAACGGGUGAGUAAUAUAUCGGAACGUGCCCAAUCGUGGGGGAUAACGUAGCGAAAGCUACGCUAAUACCGCAUACGAUCUACGGAUGAAAGCGGGGGAUCGCAAGACCUCGCGCGAUUGGAGCGGCCGAUAUCAGAAUAGCUAGUUGGUGGGGGAAAGGCCCACCAAGGCGACGAUCUGGAGCUGGUCUGAGAGGACGACCAGCCACACUGGAACUGAGACACGGUCCAGACUCCUACGGGAGGCAGCAGUGGGGAAUUUUGGACAAUGGGCGCAAGCCUGAUCCAGCAAUGCCGCGUGCAGGAUGAAGGCCUUCGGGUUGUAAACUGCUUUUGUACGGAGCGAAACGGUUUCCACUAAUACUGGGGGCUAAUGACGGUACCGUAAGAAUAAGCACCGGCUAACUACGUGCCAGCAGCCGCAGUAA